GAUGAACGCUAGCGGCAGGCUUAAUACAUGCAAGUCGAGGGGCAUCAAGGUACACGAAAGUGUAUUGUUGGCGACCGGCGGACGGGUGAGUAAUAGGUAGGUAACCUACCUCAUACUGAGGCAUAGCUGGGAGAAAUUCCAGGUAAUUCCUCAUGAGGUUAUAUGACACAUGUGAUAUAAUCAAAGGUAUCGCAAGGUACUGGUAUGAGAUGGGCUUACUGACCAUUAGCUAGUUGGUGAGAUAAGAGCUCACCAAGGCGAAGAUGGUUAGGGGUUUUGAGAGAGAGAUCCCCCACAUUGGAACUGAGAUACGGUCCAGACUCCUACGGGAGGCAGCAGUAGGGAAUAGUUGGGCAAGUGGGCGGAAGCCUGACCCAGCCAUGCCGCGUGAAGGAAGACGGCCUUAGUGGGUUGUAAACUUCUUUACUAUGCGACUAACUAGAUUUACGAGAUAAUUCUAUAGAAUGUAGCAUAGACAAAAAGCACCGGA
Molecule: ribosomal RNA, 490 nt
Filed under: uncultured bacterium
Lineage: Bacteria
Description: bacterial SSU rRNA
Rfam family: Bacterial small subunit ribosomal RNA
Source: RNAcentral